AUUACUUUGGCAGAAUAGUGCAUUAAAUUUAGAAUUUAAAUAAUAAAUUAAUAUUUAAGUAAUA
RNAcentral lists this transfer RNA (64 nucleotides) under Apocrypta bakeri. RNAcentral describes it as "tRNA-Leu". Lineage: Eukaryota; Metazoa; Arthropoda; Insecta; Hymenoptera; Pteromalidae. The record is from RNAcentral.